UUGACCUCGGAUCAGGUAGGGAUACCCGCUGAACUUAAGCAUAUCAAUAAGCCGGAG
Molecule: ribosomal RNA, 57 nt
Filed under: Penicillium simplicissimum
Lineage: Eukaryota; Fungi; Ascomycota; Eurotiomycetes; Eurotiales; Aspergillaceae
Description: partial 28S ribosomal RNA
Source: RNAcentral